Molecule: ribosomal RNA, 2286 nt
Filed under: Streptococcus infantarius
Lineage: Bacteria; Bacillati; Bacillota; Bacilli; Lactobacillales; Streptococcaceae
Description: bacterial LSU rRNA
Rfam family: Bacterial large subunit ribosomal RNA
Source: RNAcentral
AGGUUAAGUUAAUAAGGGCGCACGGUGGAUGCCUUGGCACUAGAAGCCGAUGAAGGACGUGACUAACGACGAAAUGCUUUGGGGAGUUGUAAGUAAACAUUGAUCCAGAGAUGUCCGAAUGGGGGAACCCGGCAUGUAAUGCAUGUCACUCAUUACUGUUAAGGUAAUGAAGAGGAAGACGCAGUGAACUGAAACAUCUAAGUAGCUGCAGGAAGAGAAAGCAAAUGCGAUUGCCUUAGUAGCGGCGAGCGAAAUGGCAAGAGGGCAACCGAUGUGUUUACACAUCGGGGUUGUAGGACUGCGACGUGGGACGACAAGAUUAUAGAAGAAUUACCUGGGAAGGUAAGCCAAAGAGAGUAACAGCCUCGUAUUCGAAAUAGUCUUUAACUCUAGCAGUAUCCUGAGUACGGCGAGACACGAGAAAUCUCGUCGGAAUCUGGGAGGACCAUCUCCUAACCCUAAAUACUCUCUAGUGACCGAUAGUGAACCAGUACCGUGAGGGAAAGGUGAAAAGCACCCCGGGAGGGGAGUGAAAUAGAACCUGAAACCGUGUGCCUACAACAAGUUCGAGCCCGUUAAUGGGUGAGAGCGUGCCUUUUGUAGAAUGAACCGGCGAGUUACGAUAUGAUGCGAGGUUAAGUUGAAGAGACGGAGCCGUAGGGAAACCGAGUCUUAAUAGGGCGCAUUAGUAUCAUGUCGUAGACCCGAAACCAUGUGACCUACCCAUGAGCAGGGUGAAGGUGAGGUAAAACUCACUGGAGGCCCGAACCAGGGCACGUUGAAAAGUGCUUGGAUGACUUGUGGGUAGCGGAGAAAUUCCAAACGAACUUGGAGAUAGCUGGUUCUCUCCGAAAUAGCUUUAGGGCUAGCGUCGAUGUUAAGUCUCUUGGAGGUAGAGCACUGUUUGAUUGAGGGGUCCAUCCCGGAUUACCAAUAUCAGAUAAACUCCGAAUGCCAAUGAGAUAUAAUCGGCAGUCAGACUGCGAGUGCUAAGAUCCGUAGUCGAAAGGGAAACAGCCCAGACCACCAGCUAAGGUCCCAAAAUAUAUGUUAAGUGGAAAAGGAUGUGGGGUUGCACAGACAACUAGGAUGUUAGCUUAGAAGCAGCUAUUCAUUCAAAGAGUGCGUAAUAGCUCACUAGUCGAGUGACCCUGCGCCGAAAAUGUACCGGGGCUAAACAUAUUACCGAAGCUGUGGAUACCUUUUAGGUAUGGUAGGAGAGCGUUCUAUGUGUGAAGAAGGUGUACCGUGAGGAGCGCUGGAACGCAUAGAAGUGAGAAUGCCGGUAUGAGUAGCGAAAGACAGGUGAGAAUCCUGUCCACCGUAUGACUAAGGUUUCCAGGGGGAAGGCUCGUCCUCCCUGGGUUAGUCGGGACCUAAGGAGAGACCGAAAGGUGUAUCCGAUGGACAACAGGUUGAUAUUCCUGUACUAGAGUAUAUAGUGAUGGAGGGACGCAGUAGGCUAACUAAAGCGUGCGAUUGGAAGUGCACGUCUAAGCAGUGAGGUGUGAUAUGAGUCAAAUGCUUAUAUCUCUAACAUUGAGCUGUGAUGGGGAGCGAAGUUAAGUAGCGAAGUUAGUGAUGUCACACUGCCAAGAAAAGCUCUAGCGUUAAUUAUACUCUACCCGUACCGCAAACCGACACAGGUAGUCGAGGCGAGUAGCCUCAGGUGAGCGAGAGAACUCUCGUUAAGGAACUCGGCAAAAUGGCCCCGUAACUUCGGGAGAAGGGGCGCUGGCUUUAAGUCAGCCGCCAGUGAAUAGGCCCAAGCAACUGUUUAUCAAAAAACACAGCUCUCUGCUAAAUCGUAAGAUGAUGUAUAGGGGGUGACGCCUGCCCGGUGCUGGAAGGUUAAGAGGAGCGCUUAGCAUUAGCGAAGGUGUGAAUUGAAGCCCCAGUAAACGGCGGCCGUAACUAUAACGGUCCUAAGGUAGCGAAAUUCCUUGUCGGGUAAGUUCCGACCCGCACGAAAGGCGUAAUGAUUUGGGCACUGUCUCAACGAGAGACUCGGUGAAAUUUUAGUACCUGUGAAGAUGCAGGUUACCCGCGACAGGACGGAAAGACCCCAUGGAGCUUUACUGCAGUUUGAUAUUGAGUAUCUGUACCACAUGUACAGGAUAGGUAGGAGCCUAUGAAAUCGGGACGCUAGUUUCGGUGGAGGCGUUGUUGGGAUACUACCCUUGUGUUAUGGCUACUCUAACCUAGAUAGGCUAUCCCUAUCGGAGACAGUGUCUGACAGGCAGUUUGACUGGGGCGGUCGCCUCCUAAAAGGUAACGGAGGCGCCC